Molecule: ribosomal RNA, 574 nt
Filed under: Dujonia oleophila
Lineage: Eukaryota; Fungi; Ascomycota; Pichiomycetes; Serinales; Debaryomycetaceae
Description: LSU rRNA
Rfam family: Eukaryotic large subunit ribosomal RNA
Source: RNAcentral
AAUAAGCGGAGGAAAAGAAACCAACAGGGAUUGCCUUAGUAACGGCGAGUGAAGCGGCAAAAGCUCAAAUUUGAAAUCUAGCACUUUCAGUGUUCGAGUUGUAAUUUGAAGAAGGUAACUUUGGAAUUGGCUCUUGUCUAUGUUCCUUGGAACAGGACGUCACAGAGGGUGAGAAUCCCGUGCGAUGAGAUGUCCAAUUCUAUGUAAAGUGCUUUCGAAGAGUCGAGUUGUUUGGGAAUGCAGCUCUAAGUGGGUGGUAAAUUCCAUCUAAAGCUAAAUAUUGGCGAGAGACCGAUAGCGAACAAGUACAGUGAUGGAAAGAUGAAAAGAACUUUGAAAAGAGAGUGAAAAAGUACGUGAAAUUGUUGAAAGGGAAGGGCUUGAGAUCAGACUUGGUAUUUUGUGUUCCUUAUUCUUUUUGGAUUUGGUUCCUCACAGCUUACCGGGCCAGCAUCGGUUUGGAUGGUAGGAUAAUGACAUUGGAAUGUAGCUUUGCUUCGGUGAAGUGUUAUAGACUUUGUUGAUACUGCCUAUCUAGACCGAGGACUGCGUCUUUGACUAGGAUGCUGGCGUA